RNAcentral lists this transfer RNA (73 nucleotides) under Kofleriaceae bacterium. RNAcentral describes it as "tRNA-Glu". It matches the Rfam family "tRNA". From Rfam's summary of the family: Transfer RNA (tRNA) molecules are approximately 80 nucleotides in length. Their secondary structure includes four short double-helical elements and three loops (D, anti-codon, and T loops). Further hydrogen bonds mediate the characteristic L-shaped molecular structure. tRNAs have two regions of fundamental functional importance: the anti-codon, which is responsible for specific mRNA codon recognition, and the 3' end, to which the tRNAs corresponding amino acid is attached (by aminoacyl-tRNA synthetases). tRNAs cope with the degeneracy of the genetic code in two manners: having more than one tRNA (with a specific anti-codon) for a particular amino acid; and 'wobble' base-pairing, i.e. permitting non-standard base-pairing at the 3rd anti-codon position. Lineage: Bacteria; Pseudomonadati; Myxococcota; Haliangiales; Kofleriaceae. The record is from RNAcentral.
GGCCCCAUCGUCUAGCGGUCUAGGACGCCAGCCUCUCACGUUGGUAACGCGGGUUCAAGUCCCGCUGGGGUCA